UACAGAGGGGGCAAGCGUUAUUCGGAAUUAUUGGGCGUAAAGGGCGCGUAGGCGGCUUUUCAAGUGACGGGUGAAAUCCCUCGGCUUAACCGAGGAACUGCCUGUCAGACUGGAAGGCUUGAGACCGGGAGAGGUGAGUGGAAUUCCAGGUGUAGCGGUGAAAUGCGCAGAUAUCAGGAAGAACACCUAUGGCGAAGGCAGCUCUCUGGGACGGUACUGACGCUGAGACGCGAAAGCGUGGGGAGCGAACAGG
This 253-nucleotide ribosomal RNA is filed under the name uncultured bacterium. RNAcentral's name for it is "partial 16S ribosomal RNA". It matches the Rfam family "Bacterial small subunit ribosomal RNA", at positions 524 to 776 of the family's 1533-position model. The record is from RNAcentral.